CACGUAGGGCGCGAGCGUUGUCCGGAAUUAUUGGGCGUAAAGAGCUCGUAGGCGGCCUGUUGCGUCCGCUGUGAAAGCCCGGGGCUUAACCCCGGGUCGGCAGUGGAUACGGGCAGGCUAGAGGUAGGUAGGGGAGAAUGGAAUUCCCGGUGUAGCGGUGAAAUGCGCAGAUAUCGGGAGGAACACCGGCGGCGAAGGCGGUUCGUCUGGGCCACUAACGUGACGCUGAGGAGCGAAAGCGAUGGGGAGCGAACGAGGA
This 259-nucleotide ribosomal RNA is filed under the name uncultured bacterium. RNAcentral's name for it is "partial 16S ribosomal RNA". It matches the Rfam family "Bacterial small subunit ribosomal RNA", at positions 524 to 778 of the family's 1533-position model. The record is from RNAcentral.